RNAcentral lists this ribosomal RNA (763 nucleotides) under uncultured Streptococcus sp. RNAcentral's name for it is "bacterial SSU rRNA". It matches the Rfam family "Bacterial small subunit ribosomal RNA", at positions 28 to 776 of the family's 1533-position model. The record is from RNAcentral. Lineage: Bacteria; Bacillati; Bacillota; Bacilli; Lactobacillales; Streptococcaceae.
GACGAACGCUGGCGGCGUGCCUAAUACAUGCAAGUAGAACGCUGAAGGAGGAGCUUGCUCUUCUGGAUGAGUUGCGAACGGGUGAGUAACGCGUAGGUAACCUGCCUGGUAGCGGGGGAUAACUAUUGGAAACGAUAGCUAAUACCGCAUAACAACAGUUGUUGCAUGACAGCUGUUUAAAAGAUGCAAUUGCAUCACUACCAGAUGGACCUGCGUUGUAUUAGCUAGUUGGUGAGGUAACGGCUCACCAAGGCAACGAUACAUAGCCGACCUGAGAGGGUGAUCGGCCACACUGGGACUGAGACACGGCCCAGACUCCUACGGGAGGCAGCAGUAGGGAAUCUUCGGCAAUGGACGGAAGUCUGACCGAGCAACGCCGCGUGAGUGAAGAAGGUUUUCGGAUCGUAAAGCUCUGUUGUAAGAGAAGAACGAGUGUGAGAGUGGAAAGUUCACACUGUGACGGCAUCUUACCAGAAAGGGACGGCUAACUACGUGCCAGCAGCCGCGGUAAUACGUAGGUCCCGAGCGUUGUCCGGAUUUAUUGGGCGUAAAGCGAGCGCAGGCGGUUAGAUAAGUCUGAAGUUAAAGGCUGUGGCUUAACCAUAGUACGCUUUGGAAACUGUUUAACUUGAGUGCAAGAGGGGAGAGUGGAAUUCCAUGUGUAGCGGUGAAAUGCGUAGAUAUAUGGAGGAACGCCGGUGGCGAAAGCGGCUCUCUGGCUUGUAACUGACGCUGAGGCUCGAAAGCGUGGGGAGCAAACAGG